UUAUAAAAUUCCUGUAAUUGUUAAGUGUGAUUGAACAACAGCAUAAUACUCUCCUAACCGAUUCCCACAGGUGCAUGCAUUGAGCCAAGGGCUGGGAGAGCACUUUGUUGGGAGCCCUAGUUAAGGGGUUCACGGUGCUUGUGAGGAGCAGAGAUGCGUGAGCCUCCUCGCUGACUUUUCAGGUCCUCUCGCCGCUCUCGGACUCCAUCCUGGCUGAGAAGACGGUGAUCGUCCUGGAUGACCGAGUCACCAUCGCGGAGCUGGGAGUGCAGCUCGUAGCUGGCCUGUCUCUCUCCCUGCAGUCUCACCCAGCAGACAAAAGGGCCAUCGUCUCCACAGUCGCUGCCCUGGAUGUUCUUUAGUCCCCACAACAGGGGCAUAAGGAGGCAUAUUGGAUCCACACUUCCCAUCCCAUCGUGGCCUGAGCCAGUCUUUCAGGUUAAAUCUUACAGUGCUCUGGCGAGGAGGAAGUUCACUUAGAUGCUGGAACGGACCUGAUUGCAGAAAAUACAAUUGUUCUUUGGCCUCAUGGAUCUGUGUUCAAACAUUUGCCAGUGGAAACCCAAUGCUGCAUCCUGCUCUCAACGCCCUCCAGCCAAAGCCAGAAGAAGGAACUGAAGGGCACAACGGGAGCUGCUGCUUUAAAGAUGCUUCCAGGGCUGACUCACAAAUGAAUCAAACGGAGUGUGGCUGGCCUCUUCCUUAUCCCAUGCAAGGGUGAAUGGGAAUAAAUAUCCAUGCCAUUAUCACUUUCCAUGGUGCACCUUCCUGUCAUGCAACUUGGCUUGCCAGUUUCAGGACUGGCCUCAGAAUCAAUUAACAGUGAAUUAUUUAUAUCAGCAGCUGCUGCAAAGUGUUUCCAGCUGUUGUUUCAGGAAAGCCAUCUUGUUCUUUUCAAAUUGUGCCCUUGCCUUUUGUACGUGACCAAAUCCAUCAUCAAAAAUGAAUGCAGUUUUCUUUUCCUUUUCCAGAUACAAAGACACGCUCCCACGCAGCGUCCCUCAGCUCACUCUUGGAAAGUUACGUCAGUCCUUGCUGUGUAAUUUUCACUGUCAUCUUGCUCGAUGGGACUCUUAAUGACCACUGUGUUUGAUCUAAUCUGAUAUGGUUACACAUGAGAUAGGUUCUCCCCCCACCAACUGCAGACACUUGAGAGUCAUUUGUAGGUUACCAUGCACCACUUCACAAGGGAGAAAUUGCAGGAUGGUGCCCCACAAGGACCUGCCCCCUUUCUUCCAUCAUCAAGCACUGCUCAGAAACAUAGCUCUCUUGCCCAGUAACAGAGCCAAAGGACAUCAGCAAGACAAAAUCAUAACAACUUCCAAAGAAGUUCAUUGAAACCAUAUGGUCCUUCUAUUGCUUUUCAUAUAUACGCAAGUCCAUUUCCUUUAGGAAGUUCUUUCACUCUCAUGGAAGCAACCAGUCAAUAGAGAAACUAAUUUGGGAAAAUACAUUCAGUAAAUAUUAACAUGCUAACCAGAUUCAGAAGGGAGGCUUUCAUUUCUUUAUGAGUCUUCUGGGAAUUUAUAAGGGGUUCUGAUGUAAGGAUGUCUUGGGGAGCCAGGAGAAGACCUAGAAUUAAAGUCUGCAUGGGAUUAAAUUUACUGACAACUUUGGAGGAGAGAUUGCAGGAAUUUGGGAUGGGGAAGGCUGUCAUGAACCCCGAGCGAUAAAGUGAGGAGCAGAGUUGAGGAGAGGAUUAUUUUUUCUCCUAAAGAAGAAAAUGCUGGUAAUGACUCUAACCCACCAAGGACUGGUGAUUUUAACAUUAUUACGAGACAGCAGCAUUGACAUGGAAUUUGCAGUUCUCUCCAUGGGCUGUUAGCAGGGGUAGUGACAGUGCUCUGCAGUGCGACUGUUCAGGUAUCAGAACUGGGGGAGAUAAAGGCGGAACCUGGCAGUGAACAAGGACUAGCAAGUUGGUGUGUAGGUACCAAGGAGCCUUCUACUUGGGGUUCUGCAGAAAACUAACAAUAAACAAAACAAACAAACAAACAGGAAGAUGCUUUGAGGACAGCUGGGUUCUUCUUUUAGUAAGUAGAGAGGUAGAAUUCAUGGAAUUUGUGAAUAAACAAUACUGAAUAAACAAUACUGAA
Molecule: long non-coding RNA, 2096 nt
Organism: Cercocebus atys (sooty mangabey)
Lineage: Eukaryota; Metazoa; Chordata; Mammalia; Primates; Cercopithecidae
Exons: 4
Source: RefSeq, a predicted model, not a curated record